RNAcentral lists this ribosomal RNA (1394 nucleotides) under uncultured bacterium. Its description in RNAcentral is "bacterial SSU rRNA". It matches the Rfam family "Bacterial small subunit ribosomal RNA". The record is from RNAcentral.
AGAGUUUGAUCCUGGCUCAGGAUGAACGCUGGCGGCGUGCUUAACACAUGCAAGUCGAACGAAGCACUUUAUUUGAUUUCCUUCGGGAUUGAUUAUUUGGUGACUGAGUGGCGGACGGGUGAGUAACGCGUGGGUAACCUGCCUUGUACAGGGGGAUAACAGUUGGAAACGGCUGCUAAUACCGCAUAAGCGCACAGCAUCGCAUGAUGCAGUGUGAAAAACUCCGGUGGUAUAAGAUGGACCCGCGUUGGAUUAGCUAGUUGGUGAGGUAACGGCCCACCAAGGCGACGAUCCAUAGCCGACCUGAGAGGGUGACCGGCCACAUUGGGACUGAGACACGGCCCAAACUCCUACGGGAGGCAGCAGUGGGGAAUAUUGCACAAUGGGCGAAAGCCUGAUGCAGCGACGCCGCGUGAGCGAAGAAGUAUUUCGGUAUGUAAAGCUCUAUCAGCAGGGAAGAUAAUGACGGUACCUGACUAAGAAGCACCGGCUAAAUACGUGCCAGCAGCCGCGGUAAUACGUAUGGUGCAAGCGUUAUCCGGAUUUACUGGGUGUAAAGGGAGCGUAGACGGAGUGGCAAGUCUGAUGUGAAAACCCGGGGCUCAACCCCGGGACUGCAUUGGAAACUGUUAAUCUGGAGUACCGGAGAGGUAAGCGGAAUUCCUAGUGUAGCGGUGAAAUGCGUAGAUAUUAGGUGGAACACCAGUGGCGAAGGCGGCUUACUGGACGGUAACUGACGUUGAGGCUCGAAAGCGUGGGGAGCAAAGCAGGAUUAGAUACCCUGGUAGUCCACGCCGUAAACGAUGACUACUGGGGUUCGGGCAGCCAAAGCUGUUUGGUGCCGCAGCAAACGCAAUAAGUAGUCCACCUGGGGAGUACGUUCGCAAGAAUGAAACUCAAAGGAAUUGACGGGGACCCGCACAAGCGGUGGAGCAUGUGGUUUAAUUUGAAGCAACGCGAAGAACCUUACCUGCUCUUGACAUCUCCCUGACCGGCAAGUAAUGUUGCCUUUCCUUCGGGACAGGGAUGACAGGUGGUGCAUGGUUGUCGUCAGCUCGUGUCGUGAGAUGUUGGGUUAAGUCCCGCAACGAGCGCAACCCCUAUCUUUAGUAGCCAGCGGUUCGGCCGGGCACUCUAGAGAGACUGCCAGGGAUAACCUGGAGGAAGGUGGGGAUGACGUCAAAUCAUCAUGCCCCUUAUGAGCAGGGCUACACACGUGCUACAAUGGCGUAAACAAAGGGAGGCAGAACCGCGAGGUCGAGCAAAUCCCAAAAAUAACGUCUCAGUUCGGAUUGUAGUCUGCAACUCGACUACAUGAAGCUGGAAUCGCUAGUAAUCGCGAAUCAGAAUGUCGCGGUGAAUACAAAGCCGGGUCUUGCACACACCGCCCGUCA